AGUGGCAGACGGGUGAGUAAUGUAUAGGAAUCUACCUAGUAGUACGGAAUAAUUGUUGGAAACGGCAACUAAUACCGUAUACGCCCUACGGGGGAAAGAUUUAUAGCUAUUAGAUGAGCCUAUAUUAGAUUAGCUAGUUGGUAAGGUAAUGGCUUACCAAGGCAAUGAUCUAUAGCUGAUCUGAGAGGAUGAUCAGCCACACUGGAACUGAGAUACGGUCCAGACUCCUACGGGAGGCAGCAGUGGGGAAUAUUGGACAAUGGGCGAAAGCCUGAUCCAGCCAUGCCGCAUGAGUGAAGAAGGCCUUUGGGUUGUAAAGCUCUUUCGGUGAGGAAGAUAAUGACGGUACUCACAGAAGAAGUCCUGGCUAACUCCGUGCCAGCAGCCGCGGUAAUACGGAGAGGGCUAGCGUUAUUCGGAAUUAUUGGGCGUAAAGAGCGCGUAGGCUGGUUAGUAAGUUAAAAGUGAAAUCCCAAAGCUCAACUUUGGAAUUGCUUUUAAAACUGCUAACCUAGAGAUUGAAAGAGGAUAGAGGAAUUCCUAGUGUANAGGUGAAAUUCGUAAAUAUUAGGAGGAACACCAGUGGNGAA
RNAcentral lists this ribosomal RNA (590 nucleotides) under uncultured Wolbachia sp. RNAcentral's name for it is "bacterial SSU rRNA". It matches the Rfam family "Bacterial small subunit ribosomal RNA", at positions 94 to 719 of the family's 1533-position model. Lineage: Bacteria; Pseudomonadati; Pseudomonadota; Alphaproteobacteria; Rickettsiales; Anaplasmataceae. The record is from RNAcentral.